RNAcentral lists this long non-coding RNA (1364 nucleotides) under Homo sapiens (human). RNAcentral describes it as "HSALNT0361237". The record is from RNAcentral. Lineage: Eukaryota; Metazoa; Chordata; Mammalia; Primates; Hominidae.
GUGGUUACCCGUCGCUGUAAAUGGACAGAUAAUUAUCCAAACAAAAAAAAUGCAGGAAAUAUUCUGGAUCCCCGAGCAGUCUUCUCAACUGGUACGAGGAAAAGUCAAGAAAAGCCCCUUUGAGAAGGUCUCCCUGGAAGACAGGCCCAUGAAGAGCUGAAGAAAGAAGUGGGAGGACAGAGGAGAACUCACACAAGGGGAUCAAGCUGGUGAAAACUGGAGAACCAGGCAGGUUUGUGUCUGCCAGUUCCCUGCUUACUGGGCAGAGCAAGAUGAAGCUGCUCCUCUUCCUAGGAAGCAGUCCUUUGUUCCCCUGGACCUGUGACUGAUCCACAGCAGGCAUGUGAUCUAAGCCUGAUAGAUCAGGUCCCUCGCUGGGCUUGCUGCAGCUGGAGAAGAAGCAGCUCCAUGCUGCUUUGGGGGGGGCAUGGUGCUGGAAGGAGUUGUAGUGGAUGGUAUAGGUGCUCCACUCAUAUCCCAUUGGUUCACCCUUGAGGUCAUCUUCAGACAGUCCCUGCACACAAACUGAGCUCCUAUGUCUCUCUGCAUAAAGCUGCUUCUCUGGCCUGGGGAGCAAGCUAGGGAGAGUUACCACUCCCAGAGCAACUCUUAAACAAUGAAGGAGAGGAGCUGGCAGAUAAACACCUCAGCUUCCUUGUUCUUCAGGGGCUCAAUUCUGAGUGGUGCUCCACACAUUCUUUUUGAGGCAUCCCAGUAGGAUUGAGAUCUACUUGCUCCAGCUGUAACCCACUCACCGAGACACCCGUUUGGGGUUUCCGCCCCUUCUUUGUCUCACUUACCUGCUCUCUCAUUUUGCUUCUGGUGUCAUCUUCCAAAUAAAGUGGUACACCCAAACUUUUGCCUUGGAGUUUGCUUUGAGGGGAGCCCAAACUAAGAUAGAGGAAAAGUUGGGGUUCCCAGGCAACUAUUUUCUCUACCACAUGGAGUAGGUCUGUUUGAAGAAGGUGAGAGAGAAGCUAGCAAAAAUAAGGGGGGUGGAGAGCGAGCUUGGUGGUGCCGAAUGGUUUCACCCCCAAGACUCCUUUUGUUCCCUCUCAUUCUUUGAUUCUCGAAGCUGCCCUGAACUCUUCCCAGCCAUGUGAACCAAUACAUUCCUCCCUGUAUGUGUUAAGCUUGCUUGAAUUGGAUUUCUGUCUCUUGCAACUGAAAGUAUUAAUGACUCUUACAAAGAAUAAGUGAGUUCGCAUGCAAAGCAUUUUGAAUAGAGCCUGUCACAGAUUAAAUACUAUUACUGGUGCAUAUUAUUAUUAUUUAAUGUCUGACUCGCUUCCAGUGGAGACCAUGGAUCAAGAAGCUAGAGCCUAGAAAAGAAUCACAAAAAAGUCAGUUUAAUUCUACCUAAU